AUUGAACGCUGGCGGCAUGCUUUACACAUGCAAGUCGGACGGCAGCACAGAGAAGCUUGCUUCUUGGGUGGCGAGUGGCGAACGGGUGAGUAAUAUAUCGGAACGUACCGAGUAAUGGGGGAUAACUAAUCGAAAGAUUAGCUAAUACCGCAUAUUCUCUGAGGAGGAAAGCAGGGGACCUUCGGGCCUUGCGUUAUUCGAGCGGCCGAUAUCUGAUUAGCUAGUUGGUGGGGUAAAGGCCUACCAAGGCGACGAUCAGUAGCGGGUCUGAGAGGAUGAUCCGCCACACUGGGACUGAGACACGGCCCAGACUCCUACGGGAGGCAGCAGUGGGGAAUUUUGGACAAUGGGCGCAAGCCUGAUCCAGCCAUGCCGCGUGUCUGAAGAAGGCCUUCGGGUCGUAAAGGACUUUUGUCAGGGAAGAAAAGGCUGUUGCUAAUAUCGACAGCUGAUGACGGUACCUGAAGAAUAAGCACCGGCUAACUACGUGCCAGCAGCCGCGGUAAUACGUAGGGUGCGAGCGUUAAUCGGAAUUACUGGGCGUAAAGCGAGCGCAGACGGUUACUUAAGCAGGAUGUGAAAUCCCCGGGCUCAACCUGGGAACUGCGUUCUGAACUGGGUGACUAGAGUGUGUCAGAGGGAGGUAGAAUUCCACGUGUAGCAGUGAAAUGCGUAGAGAUGUGGAGGAAUACCGAUGGCGAAGGCAGCCUCCUGGGAUAACACUGACGUUCAUGCUCGAAAGCGUGGGUAGCAAACAGGAUUAGAUACCCUGGUAGUCCACGCCCUAAACGAUGUCAAUUAGCUGUUGGGCAACUUGAUUGCUUAGUAGCGUAGCUAACGCGUGAAAUUGACCGCCUGGGGAGUACGGUCGCAAGAUUAAAACUCAAAGGAAUUGACGGGGACCCGCACAAGCGGUGGAUGAUGUGGAUUAAUUCGAUGCAACGCGAAGAA
RNAcentral lists this ribosomal RNA (951 nucleotides) under Neisseria flavescens. Its description in RNAcentral is "bacterial SSU rRNA". It matches the Rfam family "Bacterial small subunit ribosomal RNA", at positions 28 to 968 of the family's 1533-position model. The record is from RNAcentral. Lineage: Bacteria; Pseudomonadati; Pseudomonadota; Betaproteobacteria; Neisseriales; Neisseriaceae.